CGCGAAAGUGAUGAGUUGCACGUUGGUGUGGCCACAGCAUCGGGUGAUGUGGGCUGCACUCAGUAGCAGUCUGGUGACAAACCAAGUGCACAGGGGCCAUCUGACUCGCG
Molecule: non-coding RNA, 110 nt
Organism: Sarcophilus harrisii (Tasmanian devil)
Lineage: Eukaryota; Metazoa; Chordata; Mammalia; Dasyuromorphia; Dasyuridae
Source: Rfam